GAUGAACGCUGGCGGCGUGCCUAAUACAUGCAAGUCGAGCGAACAGACGCGGAGCUUGCUCCUCUGACGUUAGCGGCGGACGGGUGAGUAACACGUGGAUAACCUACCUAUAUGACUGGGAUAACUUCGGGAAACCGGAGCUAAUACCGGAUAAUAUCUUGAACCGCAUGGUUCAAUAGUGAAAGACGGUUUUGCUGUCACUUAUAGAUGGAUCCGCGCCGCAUUAGCUAGUUGGUAAGGUAACGGCUUACCAAGGCAACGAUGCGUAGCCGACCUGAGAGGGUGAUCGGCCACACUGGAGCGGAGACACGGUCCAGGCUCCUACGGGAGGCAGCAGUAGGGAAUCUUCCGCAAUGGGCGAAAGCCUGACGGAGCGACGCCGCGUGAGUGAUGAAGAUCUUCGGAUCGUAAAACUCUGUUAUUAGGGAAGAACAAAUGUGUAAGUAACUAUGCACGUCUUGACGGUACCUAAUCAGAAAGCCACGGCUAACUACGUG
This 497-nucleotide ribosomal RNA is filed under the name uncultured bacterium. RNAcentral's name for it is "partial 16S ribosomal RNA". It matches the Rfam family "Bacterial small subunit ribosomal RNA", at positions 28 to 507 of the family's 1533-position model. The record is from RNAcentral.